GGAGAGGUGGCCGAGCGGCUUAUGGCGGCAGUCUUGAAAACUGCUGUACUCGUAAGGGUACCGGGGGUUCAAAUCCCUCCCUCUCCG
RNAcentral lists this transfer RNA (87 nucleotides) under Candidatus Saganbacteria bacterium. RNAcentral's name for it is "tRNA-Ser". It matches the Rfam family "tRNA". Rfam says of the family: Transfer RNA (tRNA) molecules are approximately 80 nucleotides in length. Their secondary structure includes four short double-helical elements and three loops (D, anti-codon, and T loops). Lineage: Bacteria; Bacillati. The record is from RNAcentral.